UGUGGAACCAAUGUAUCAGUGUGUUCAAG
This 29-nucleotide non-coding RNA is filed under the name Mus musculus (house mouse). Lineage: Eukaryota; Metazoa; Chordata; Mammalia; Rodentia; Muridae. The record is from RNAcentral.